UUCGAUGAUGAUUUUUCCAUAUUUUUGAGGUUAGUUUGCUUCAAGCCCCUGCUUACAGGGAGAACCUACUUGAGGCUGCUAUACCAUAGCAUGAAAUUUCUGGAUUAUUCUGAGAC
Molecule: small nucleolar RNA, 116 nt
Organism: Quercus lobata
Lineage: Eukaryota; Viridiplantae; Streptophyta; Magnoliopsida; Fagales; Fagaceae
Product: small nucleolar RNA Z278
Exons: 1
Source: RefSeq, a predicted model, not a curated record